This 274-nucleotide ribosomal RNA is filed under the name uncultured bacterium. RNAcentral describes it as "partial 16S ribosomal RNA". It matches the Rfam family "Bacterial small subunit ribosomal RNA", at positions 523 to 796 of the family's 1533-position model. The record is from RNAcentral.
CUACGGAGGGUGCAAGCGUUACUCGGAAUCACUGGGCGUAAAGCGCGCGCAGGCGGCUAUUUAAGUUGGAUGUGAAAGCCUACGGCUCAACCGUAGAACUGCAUCCAAAACUAUUUAGCUAGAGUGUGAGAGAGGAAGAUGGAAUUAGUUGUGUAGGGGUAAAAUCCGUAGAGAUAACUAGGAAUACCAAAAGCGAAGGCAAUCUUCUGGAACACUACUGACGCUGAGGCACGAAAGCGUGGGGAGCAAACAGAAUUAGAUACCCCAGUAGUCC